Brassica rapa (field mustard) is the source of this 2078-nucleotide long non-coding RNA. RefSeq lists it as uncharacterized. The record is from RefSeq and is a predicted model, not a curated record. NCBI's taxonomy places the organism in Eukaryota, Viridiplantae, Streptophyta, Magnoliopsida, Brassicales, Brassicaceae.
GAGAGAGAAGCUUCCCUCAAGUGUUCUAUGGCUGCUCGGAUCGAAAAGCUCUUGAGAGAUGUUGAUGGUCUGUAUUGGAUUAGAGCUCAUUGGUAUAUGAUACUCUUCAGUGCGUCAAGGGUAGCCGCCAAAGUCCUGAACCUGUUCAUACCACCGCCAUAGAAUCUCGGAUUCGGCGGGAGUGGUUGUGAUUGGAAGCGUCAUUGGUGCGGGUGGAGCUACGGUACACCCCAAAGAGAUGCCCUCCGGUUCAGCUUUCACCUAAGUACCCUGAUCCACCACCUUCUGCUCCUACAACUACGGCUACCGAUGAUCCUACCGCCGCUUUUCGCGAGCAACCUAAGAAGCUCAGAGCCGAUUUUGUCAAGGCUGCUAAACAGGUUACUCUCCUUCUUUCUUCAGAUUUAGUUAAGAUUAUGUGAAAUACAUGUCAUUUUUAUUCUGCUGUUUUGAGUCCUUGGCGUGGUACUUUGUUUUGUUGAAGUUUGAUGCUUUGGUUGCAUCCCUUCCGUUAUCAGACGGAGGUGAAGAAUCUCAGUUGAGAAUAAUCGCUGAAUUCCAGAUAAUAUAAGUCUCACUCACUGAUAUUUUAUGUUUGGUAAAUCAUCUUCUGUUCCCUUCUCUACCAUUUUUCUUCAGGUUGAAAAUGAUUUUACUGGCCAAGAGCUCCAAAAACGAUUGGAGGCUGCAGGUAAAAUUUUCCUGGCCAAUCUUUAGUUUUUUCUUUGGUUGUUACUACCCCACACUAGGACUAAGAUGUUGUUUAACCAUUGCAAGGAGAUCUCUUUAGUGGUUAAAGCUAUGAGAGAGGUGAUGAAUCUGAUCCCUACGCAUAGAGCUUCACUCGCUGUGGCACAAGUAAUGGAUGAAACUUUCUCUUUUUGAUGAUGAAAUAUUGUAUCAUCUUGGAUUGUGCUUUGGUAUGAAGAUUAGUGAUUGUUAAUGGGAUCCAACUAUUGCUGGGUUGGGAGAUUAUCACAAAUGAGAUCAUGAUGUAAAAAAAGUAUUUGGGAUCUUUAAAGUCAUGUAAAUAUAUUUAUGGUACCUUCAUAAAGAAAUAGAACUUUAAAACGUAAUAGCAAUAGAAAGCUUUUCUUCUUUCAUAACUGAUAUAAAACGUAAUAUAUAGAACUUAAAAGCACUGCAAUGAUGUAUAUAUCCUUAAACCAACGGUGUUAAGUCUCGAGGUAUUAAGGCAAACCGUUCACGACCAACACGGUAGGCCCGAGAGCAACUCAAGAGCAGGAUCUACACAAGCCAAGGAAACGAUGUUCUGAAACAUCUAACCAAAGAGACAUAUUACUUCGUCCCUGAAAGCCAGCUUCUCAAAAAUCUGAGUUUAUACUACACGCACAACUCUGGGAAGCAAAAACUCAAAAUGAACCGAAAUUUAAAUUUCUUAAUAUGUUUUAAUCAAUAAAAUUAAAUUACAGCCAAGAUUUUUGAAAAAAAAUAAACCAAUAUAUAUAUAUAUGAAAUAUUAAAGAAAAAUUUAAAUCUACUUACUAAAGUGUACGUUAGAAUAUCUUAUAAAGCAUUUAGGUCGUCAUCACCAUUAGCAACUAUAUAUAGAAAAGCUAUGCCAAACUUCAAUACAUUCUGUUAUGUUUAAAAUUACGUAAAUAAAUUACGUAAAAAUGUCAAAUAAAGUAUAUAGAUAAUGAUUCUGAAAAGAUACAAAAUAUGAAUGGUUAAAUUAGAAUGGUUUAGGUUUGUAGUAAGUUAAACUGAAAAAUCUUAUAGAUUGCUUCCGCUGUGUUUUACGCUUAUGUGGAUUUUGGUGUAAACUACAGUCCUAAUUAAAAUUUACAUAUAAAUUAAAACUAUUCUAAAAUUAGUUAUAAAAAGAAAAAUUAUUAUUAAAAUUAUUUAGUAAAAUAGGCUUAUAGCUUUUUCUGGUUUAUGACCAAAAAAACAUCUACAUGAACAUGCUAGAUUAGCUAAAAACAAUUCUUAGAGAUACAUAUACCACCGUUAAACUUACAAAUUUAACAAAUAUUUAAAUAAAAUAUAUAAAAUACUACACAUAUAAUCUCAUGAAAAUAUGAAAUAAGAAUGUAAAUCUCUAAAAAAAAAAA